Molecule: small nuclear RNA, 117 nt
Filed under: Podarcis muralis (Common wall lizard)
Lineage: Eukaryota; Metazoa; Chordata; Lepidosauria; Squamata; Lacertidae
Description: U2 spliceosomal RNA (ENSPMRG00000010112.1)
Rfam family: U2 spliceosomal RNA
About the family: U2 is a small nuclear RNA (snRNA) component of the spliceosome (involved in pre-mRNA splicing).
Source: Rfam by way of RNAcentral
UUCGCUUCUCGGCCUUUUGGCUAAGAUCAAGUGUAGUAUCUGUUCUUAUCAGUUUAAUAUCUGAUAUUUGAGGACUAAUUUUUUCUUGGGAGAAAAGAAAUGACAAUGACAAACCUA